AUACUUACCUGGCAGGGGAGAUAUCAUGAUCAUGAAGGUGGUUUUCCCAGGGUGAGGCUUAUCCAUUGCACUUCGGAUUUGUGAUUUCCCCAAAUGUGGGAAACUUGACUGCAUAAUUUGUGGUAGUAGGGGACUGUGUUUGAGUGCUCCCUUG
Molecule: small nuclear RNA, 154 nt
Filed under: Castor canadensis (American beaver)
Lineage: Eukaryota; Metazoa; Chordata; Mammalia; Rodentia; Castoridae
Description: U1 spliceosomal RNA (ENSCCNG00000005563.1)
Rfam family: U1 spliceosomal RNA
About the family: U1 is a small nuclear RNA (snRNA) component of the spliceosome (involved in pre-mRNA splicing). Its 5' end forms complementary base pairs with the 5' splice junction, thus defining the 5' donor site of an intron. There are significant differences in sequence and secondary structure between metazoan and yeast U1 snRNAs, the latter being much longer (568 nucleotides as compared to 164 nucleotides in human).
Source: Rfam by way of RNAcentral